CCCUGUCGCCUGGGAGAAGAGGGGGUGCGCUCCUACCUGGCGGAGGAGAGCGGCUGUCACCAGGGCCAGCGCGGUGGAGCUGGCCUCCUUCUGCCCCCACGCGCGCCAGCCGGCGGCUUUUAAAUCUCCAGCUGUUGAACAGGGUCCCCGGAUACCCGUUUCCAGAAUACCUUCCACAAGAGCGGAACAAUGCAGGUGGGAAGCAGAGAACUGGGGGCCCAUGCUGGCCUGGUGUCUUUUUUCCUCCAUGGAGUUUUAUCCACAGGAAGGACAAAUCCAAUUGCUGUGGAUUGUUGACUUGAAUACUACAAAAUCACAGGAAGAUGCCUUUGAAGGGAGGACCUAGGGAGCUGUGGCCCCAGACUGGGCCCUGGGGGCCCUAGGUCCCAGUGCUGGCCCUGCCACCAACCAGGUAUGAUGUGGAGCAAGUCCCUUCCACAUUCUGGGCCUCUGUACAAAGAAAGAUUGGCCAGGUAAUCUGGCACCUCCAGAUUAAAGGCACCUCCAGCUGGGAGGCAAGGAAGAGUGGGAAACAGAGAAGAGACAGGAAUGAUGGAGCCCUGGUGUCCUGGGGAGCCCAGAGUGGAGGCAGAAGAGAACAGAGCAGAGAAGAAUCAAGAAUCUACAUUUUGAGUCACUCAACAAGUUCAGCCCGGAACCUGGGAAGCACUUACCCCUGCAGCAGAGUGUGAUACCUCGCUGGGGCUGGUUAGCCUUUACGAAGCCUGGAAAGUCGUGAAGAACUUGGAGUUUCCUUUAUGUUCCCCUCGCCUCUCGCCACCUCCACCUUACAAGGGCUGUGGCCCCCUUUGAGGUCUACUUACUUCUUCCCGGCCUACCUUAGGGUCAGGGGUGAACAGUCUUUUGAGUAUAAAGGCCACCGCAGGGCCAGAUCCUAGCUCCAGACUUGAUGGAGGAGGGAAGGGUCCCUGGACACAACAGUUCCAUUUCUGGGGUUCCACUUGUGGCACAAUAAUCUGAUAUGCAUGUCAAAGGUAUAUACAUAAUGUUUAUCUCAUCAUUCUUCAUAAUAGGCAGAAAUGAGAAACAAUCCAAGUGUAGAAUAGUAAGUUAUUGGCUAAGUGAAUUAUGGCAAAUCCAUAUAAUGGGACAUGUUGCUGCCAUUUAGAAGUGGUGACAACAGAGAAUUUUAAUUGAUGGAGGAAAUGUUUAUUUCCUCCAUCAAUUAAAACAGUGAAAACAGUGGCUACAAAAUAGUACUCAUGGUGGGAUAUACAUUUUUAAGGUAGGUAUAAACUAAUGCAAUGGGAUCUCCGGGACUGGAUCUUGGAACAGGAAAGGGACAGUAGAAAACUGGUGGAAACUGAGUAAGGUCUGCAGUUUCGUAAACAGUACUCCACCAGCAUUAAUAUCUCAGUUCGAUAACUGCACUGUGGUUAUGUUAACAUCAGGUGGAGGGGGAGCCUUUCUGUGUCUCAAAGUUUUCUAUGUGGAUUAAAAAUUGCUCUUGUAAAUAGAAAGAAAAGAACCAGUAAAUAUUAUUUUUAAAGGGAAAGAAUAAAAUAAAACAAAGGCAGAAAGAGGAAUGGGACAUACCACUGGGGUGCCCCCAGUGAGGGCCCCUGCCCCCACUUCUGUCCACAGGGCUGGGGUGAGGGAGACCAGGGACGUGAGCAGGAGAACCCCACCACUCUCGAGGCCUCCUUAAUGGGGAGGUUUGGCGCCGUUGGGUGAAGAAGUGAGUUGGAGCAGGGUUUGAGAGGUGAGAAGGAACUGGAGGGUUGUACACACGCACCUGGCCAUAUUCCUGCCACCACCCAGCACCCCUUGGGCACAGAAGAGAAGCUGAAGCCGCUGAAAGAAGGACGGGACAGCCCCACCUUCCCUCUCAAACCGAAAGUUUUGGAAGGACCAUGGCCUCUAGUUCCUGAGGUCACCAGUGCUGCCCCUGUCACUCCUAGAAGGUUGAGCCUUAGAAUUGCUGGUGAGCCCUGACCUGUGUGGCUCAGUUGGCUGGGCAUUGUCCAGCAAAGUGAAAGGUUGCUGGUUCGAUUCCCAGUCAGGGCACAUGCCUGGGUUGUGGGUUCGGUCCCCCAUUGGGGUGCGUGGGAAAGGCAAUUGAUAAAUGUUUCUGCCCCACAUUGAUGUUCACCUCCCUCCCUUCCUCUCCCUGUACCAGUAAAUAAACACAAUCUUUAAAAAAAUUGCUGGUGAACAUAGCCCCCAUGAUGUAACUGUGGACAGUUCAAUCUGAGUG
Long non-coding RNA from Phyllostomus hastatus (greater spear-nosed bat), 2218 nucleotides. RefSeq lists it as uncharacterized. The record is from RefSeq and is a predicted model, not a curated record. Lineage: Eukaryota; Metazoa; Chordata; Mammalia; Chiroptera; Phyllostomidae. The transcript has 3 exons.